RNAcentral lists this small RNA (1874 nucleotides) under Rattus norvegicus (Norway rat). Its description in RNAcentral is "uncharacterized LOC102549265". Lineage: Eukaryota; Metazoa; Chordata; Mammalia; Rodentia; Muridae. The record is from RNAcentral.
CUGUUUUAAUUUUCCCAUGUUCUGUUCUGGUCUUUGCUUGAAGUGCAUACUUAAUUUAUAAUUAAAUGUGUAAUUAUGGAACAGAUAAAUACAAUUUAGAUUUCCUAUGUUAUAUAACUUUUAGAUGAGUUUGGCCAAAGGGAAAUCAGUAAUAAUGAGGAUGGCACGGAUUAGUCAGAACCGGCUCUAGUUGACCCCUGCUUGUUUUGUCUCAUUUAAAGCUCACAAGAACUGUCAGGAAGUCGCACCGUCCUGAGGAGUAGAUUAAAACACUGUAGAUAUUGAGAAAGCCAUUUGAGGUCACAGUCUGCACGAGAGGGAACAUGUCACCCAGGAGCCGAGGAAGUACAAGGAGAUGACCAACAGGCACACCAGCCCGAAGACGACAAGGCGUUGAUAUCGUUCAGAUUACUCCUUCCAAGGUGUGUCGAGCUGUGCAUGUCAGUACAUGUGUCAUUGGAGGCCAGAAGACUGUGAUGGAUCUCUUGGAGCUGGAGUUAAGGUGGUUGUAAACUUUGAAUUCAAGUAGGGUCCUUUGGAAGAACAGUACAUGCUCCUAGCUACUGAGCUAUCCUCGAGACCAGUGCUUUCUUGAAAACAACUUCUGAUGAACACUAGGCCUCUGUCAGUCCUCAAGAAUCUGACCAGAGCUGCACCCGUGUGCUUGUCAUUAGGAAGCCUGCUUAGCCCGCUGCAGAGGAAUCCUAGUCCAUCACACCUUUGGCGUGAAGUCCUACUGGGCCAAGUGGGCUUCCUAGGAGCUGUUUCUAGCCAAGUCUCCAUAUGCCUAGUGGGCGGGUGUUGAAACCUGGGUCAGGCUUGGCAGGAGAUCUGCAGAGGGAGCUGUUACAACCCAAACAGUCACUGUGUGCACAGUGCUUCACAUGUCUUCCAUAUGCCUGGAACCAGUCACUGGAAACUGCAAGACUCUGUGCAACCCCAAGAAAUGACUGUUAGAGAAAGUAAGUGCCUGGGACUCACGGGACUAUUAGGUCUAAUCAGCAUCCUAAGAACUACUGAGUAUUUAAAUUAUCACACUGAGGGAAAUAGACCCCGGUCAGUCCUUCUGCUUUUGGACUGAAAUAAAGAUGUUUGGUCGUCUGACUUCCUAGCCUUAUUCUGGAUGUGACAGCUCUCUUUCCUUCUGAUGAGUUUCCAGCUCAAGGUCAGAUGGGGUUUGGGAGGAAGCAUUGCUCACAAACCAAGUGUGAGGACACGUGCUCCAGGCGAGCCACAGCCUUUGGACUCCAUCCUGGACUUUGACUGCUGCGUGGAGUAGGGCUGGAACUAGAGAAAUGUCACUGGACUGACUCAUUACACAUGCUCCCAGAACCAUGAGCGGGUGAUCCCCGCUAAGGAGUGUCGUGCUCAUGCUGAUAGAAUCUGGCAAACGUGAACUUCAUCACUGGAUCUGCAGUGGAAGAGAAGGCAGCACUCACAGCCACAGAAACCCCCUCCCCAGUUCUGCAGGGUCUGCCUCUCUCUACCCCGCUCUGUUGUGGGCCACCUCUGUUGCCCCCUGCCAAGGAUCCCUCCCACUAACCCGGCUUCUUUGCUCCCUCCUCCAGAGCCCUAGCCCCUCGGGUCUCAUCUACAGUAUAUGCUAUGUCAGUUUUUCCCUGCCUCUGUGACUUCUGUCCCUGGUCACUCUGGGCAGCUAUGUCUGAAUGGGCAAGUGUGUGAGAGAGGACAUAGGAGGCAAAGAAAGAAAUGAGUGUGUGAAAGGCUAAGUGCUUAGCUGAUGAACACUGAACUUCUGGGACCUAAACAUUCCAGAAUGUUCUCCCCUUCAGCUGGACAGUGUUACUACAGGAUCUUUAUUUUAGAUCCUUUGAGAAAAUGAAAACAUUCCUAUUGUGAACCCAUUUAACCCA